GAUGAACGCUGGCGGCGUGCCUAAUACAUGCAAGUCGAGCGAACAGACGAGGAGCUUGCUCCUCUGACGUUAGCGGCGGACGGGUGAGUAACACAUGGAUAACCUACCUAUAAGACUGGGAUAACUUCGGGAAACCGGAGCUAAUACCGGAUAAUAUAUUGAACCGCAUGGUUCAAUAGUGAAAGACGGUUUUGCUGUCACUUAUAGAUGGAUCCGCGCCGCAUUAGCUAGUUGGUAAGGUAACGGCUUACCAAGGCGACGAUGCGUAGCCGACCUGAGAGGGUGAUCGGCCACACUGGAACUGAGACACGGUCCAGACUCCUACGGGAGGCAGCAGUAGGGAAUCUUCCGCAAUGGGCGAAAGCCUGACGGAGCAACGCCGCGUGAGUGAUGAAGGUCUGCGGAUCGUAAAACUCUGUUAUUAGGGAAGAACAAAUGUGUAAGUAACUAUGCACGUCUUGACGGUACCUAAUCAGAAAGCCACGGCUAACUACGUG
Molecule: ribosomal RNA, 497 nt
Filed under: uncultured bacterium
Lineage: Bacteria
Description: partial 16S ribosomal RNA
Rfam family: Bacterial small subunit ribosomal RNA
Source: RNAcentral